CAGUCGCCGCGGUAAUACGAAGGGUGCAAGCGUUAAUCGGAAUUACUGGGCGUAAAGCGUGCGUAGGCGGUUUGUUAAGUCUGCUGUGAAAUCCCCGGGCUCAACCUGGGAAUGGCAGUGGAUACUGGCAAGCUAGAGUGUGUCAGAGGAUGGUGGAAUUCCCGGUGUAGCGGUGAAAUGCGUAGAGAUCGGGAGGAAUACCGGUGGCGAAGGCGGCCCCCUGGACAAAGACUGACGCUCAGGUGCGAAAGCGUGGGGAGCAAACAGGAUUAGAUACCCGUGUAGUCCCUGUCUCUUAUAC
This 301-nucleotide ribosomal RNA is filed under the name uncultured bacterium. RNAcentral's name for it is "partial 16S ribosomal RNA". It matches the Rfam family "Bacterial small subunit ribosomal RNA", at positions 509 to 807 of the family's 1533-position model. The record is from RNAcentral.